This 500-nucleotide ribosomal RNA is filed under the name uncultured bacterium. RNAcentral describes it as "partial 16S ribosomal RNA". It matches the Rfam family "Bacterial small subunit ribosomal RNA", at positions 30 to 523 of the family's 1533-position model. The record is from RNAcentral.
AUUGAACGCUGGCGGCAGGCCUAACACAUGCAAGUCGAGCGGUAGAGAGAAGCUUGCUUCUCUUGAGAGCGGCGGACGGGUGAGUAAUGCCUAGGAAUCUGCCUAGUGGUGGGGGAUAACGUUCGGAAACGGACGCUAAUACCGCAUACGACCUACGGGAGAAAGCGGGGGAUCUUCGGACCUAGCGCCAUUAGUUGAGCCUAGGUCGGAUUAGCUAGUUGGCGAGGUAAUGGCUCACCAAGGCGACGAUCCGUAACUGGUCUGAGAGGAUGAUCAGUCACACUGGAACUGGGACACGGUCCAGACUCCUACGGGAGGCAGCAGUGGGGAAUAUUGGACAAUGGGCGAAAGCCUGAUCCAGCCAUGCCGCGUGUGUGAAGAAGGUCUUCGGAUUGUAAAGCACUUUAAGUUGGGAGGAAGGGUAGUAACCUAAUACGUUGCUACUUUGACGUUACCGACAGAAUAAGCACCGGCUAACUUCGUGCCAGCCGCCGCCGUAA